AUACGUAGGGGGCGAGCGUUGUCCGGAAUGACUGGGCGUAAAGGGCGUGUAGGCGGCCGAUUAAGUCUGGAGUGAAAGUCCUGCAUUCAAUGUGGGAAUUGCUUUGGAGACUGGUUGGCUUGAGUGCGGAAGAGGUAAGUGGAAUUCCCAGUGUAGCGGUGAAAUGCGUAGAGAUUGGGAGGAACACCAGUGGCGAAGGCGACUUACUGGGCUGUAACUGACGCUGAGGCGCGAAAGCGUGGGGAGCGAACAGGAUUAGAUACCCUGGCAGUCCACGCGGUAAACGAUGAAUGCUAGGUGUUGCGGGUAUCGACCCCUGCAGUGCCGGAGUAAACACAAUAAGCAUUCCGCCUGGGGAGUACGGCCGCAAGGUUGAAACUCAAAGGAAUUGACGGGG
Molecule: ribosomal RNA, 397 nt
Filed under: uncultured bacterium
Lineage: Bacteria
Description: partial 16S ribosomal RNA
Rfam family: Bacterial small subunit ribosomal RNA
Source: RNAcentral